UCCUCCGUGGCCUAAUGGCUAAGGCGUCCGACUGUUACUUAUAGGCACAUCGGGAGAUUGGAAGUUCGAUCCUUCCCGGGGGAG
Molecule: non-coding RNA, 84 nt
Organism: Neodidymelliopsis sp. IMI 364377
Lineage: Eukaryota; Fungi; Ascomycota; Dothideomycetes; Pleosporales; Didymellaceae
Source: the annotation of a GenBank genome assembly